ACCCUUUGUGGUUCUGUCGAUAGCCAUGUGGUUUGGUCUGACAGCAUUCCAUCUCUACCAAAGUGGUGCCUGCCCUUCCGAAGUCGGGCCCAAAUUCUUUCAUCAACAAGUGCCUCAAGAUUGACAUCCUCAUGGAAACCACGUUUGGCACAAUUGACAUCGUCAGUGCAGCCUUUGUGGGAUGGCUGGUUUCUGCACGUGUCGACAUCCUUCAUGAGCACAUCCUCACAGUGGCCUGUGCUGGACACCUGACCUCUGCCCUGAUGGGAGUCUAUGCCCUCGGCUUCAGCAACAUGGCUGAUAAAAGGGGUACAUCUGUUGCCGUCUCACAUUGUUGCUGGUGCUGGUAGGCUGCUUUGCCUACAGUGUCGUCCACCAGAGGAUCAUCUUGACCACAUUAGACUGGAUUCUGUAUGUGGUUGGCUUCUGUCCAGAUAGUCCCCUUCUGACCGGACUCCUGCGAGGUGGAGAGGGAGGCCCCUCCCAAGCAGGACUAGAUGUGGAGCGUUGACCCGUGGAUGUAGAACAAGUCCCCAGAUCUGUAUGCAUGUGGUGUGUUCUGGCUACAUGGACCAGGUCACCAGGCUCACUCUCUUGUAUUUCCGACUUUGGAUCUGUCUUUAUAAAUCUUGAAUGACAUUUGUAUUGUCUAUGGAGAUAUGUGUGUAACUGACAGAGAGACUAACCAAUACUUCCCUGGGUGAAGGGUUGCUCUUUGAAACAAAUAUCUAACACGUAAGGAUGAGAUACUCCCCAACUUGGCUGCUGGUUGCAACUAAAAGAUUAGUUUAUUUUAGAAUAGGAGCUGGUUGUAACAUACCAAUUUAUCAUUAGAUCACCCAAAGUGAUAGAAGUUCACCAGUCAGCAUCACAUCACAAAUUUAAAUUCUGGAAAAUGUACAUCCUACACAACACGAACAACGUACACCUAAGGUCAACUAAGGACUUGGUAAAGGAAGGUGUGUGUCAGACGCUUCCACGCUUUGUCAUUUAUUUGUAGGUAGAGAAUAAACCAUCUCUAGAAAUAAAACCAAGGUUGUAUUAUACCAAAAUAAUAUAUUGUAUGAUCUGUUUUUAUUGAGAAUGUUGGAGUUCGAUUAUGGGAAAUUACAUUUGAUGUAUAUGUUAUUUUUACUUUCUGACAAUCUCAUUUAUUUCAAUUAUGAAAAUCAAUCUAAUUCAAGACAACAAUCGUUUUGUUAUGAUGAACUGUUUGCAAUGUUUGUUUAAAUCAUGAUGGAACUUGUCAGGGUAAUGCGUCCUCUACACGUCAAUAGAGGCCGCGGCUGGAACACCUCUACUCAACAAAUAUUUUACUUUGUGACCAAUCAUUAUUAUCUCCCAAACUAUUUUUAUACAUUAUAUGAAAUAUAUUUUAAUUGUUGUAGCGUUUGCAUGUUGUUUUUCUUUUCUAUAUCUAUCGUUAUAGUUAUAUUACUUUUAUAGAAAACCUACUUACAAUAAAUUUAUUUUAUUAUAACA
This is a long non-coding RNA of Haliotis rubra (blacklip abalone), 1482 nucleotides long. RefSeq lists it as uncharacterized. The record is from RefSeq and is a predicted model, not a curated record. Lineage: Eukaryota; Metazoa; Mollusca; Gastropoda; Lepetellida; Haliotidae. The transcript is spliced from 3 exons.